CCUACGGGUGGCAGCAGUAGGGAAUUUUGCGCAAUGGGGGAAACCCUGACGCAGCAACGCCGCGUGAUCGAUGAAGCCCUUCGGGGUGUAAAGAUCUGUCAGUAGGGACGAAACCUGCCGUUCCCCACAAAGGAAGCACCGGCUAACUCCGUGCCAGCAGCGGCGGUAAUACGGGGGAUGCAAGCGUUGUCCGGAUUCAUUGGGCGUAAAGAGUUCGUAGGUGGCACGUUAAGUCUGAUGGUAAAGACGGAAGCUCAACGUCGGUAGGGCAUUGGAUACUGGCGGGCUUGAAUGCGGUAGAGGUAAAGGGAAUUCCUGGUGUAGCGGUGAAAUGCGUAGAUAUCAGGAGGAACAUCGGUGGCGAAAGCGGUUUACUGGGCCGUAAUUGACACUGAGGAACGAAAGCCGGGGGAGCAAAUGGGAUUAGAUACCCGGGUAGUC
This 441-nucleotide ribosomal RNA is filed under the name uncultured bacterium. RNAcentral describes it as "partial 16S ribosomal RNA". It matches the Rfam family "Bacterial small subunit ribosomal RNA", at positions 338 to 795 of the family's 1533-position model. The record is from RNAcentral.